Symsagittifera roscoffensis is the source of this 521-nucleotide long non-coding RNA. RefSeq lists it as uncharacterized. The record is from RefSeq and is a predicted model, not a curated record. The transcript is spliced from 3 exons. Lineage: Eukaryota; Metazoa; Xenacoelomorpha; Acoela; Convolutidae.
UUUGCCAGGAUUAUGGAUGUUUUGCAAAUGUUCCUAUUAGUAUUGAUGUUUUCAAGUUUCGAAUGUUUUAACAGAUCACAGUUACAAUUUGACAUAGUUAAUGGCUACCCGUCGAUACAUCGGCCGUUUUAUGUGCGGUUGAACUUUCGUCAACGGGGUAAAUUGAGUUGUGGCGGAUCAACUAUCAACAAAUUCUUCGUGGCAACAGCCGCAGUUUGCGUACAAAACGUACAUGCUGGUUCAAUCAUCGUUGAACUGCGAGACUUCACCAAGUUACAUAGCACUUUGGACACGCGCGAAGUCUUAAGGGUGUACAUUGCUCCCUCAAAAGAACUUGGGGUGAAACCAGGCAACAGCAUUGCUCUUCUGGAGCUGAACGAGCCAAUUCUGGAAGAAACAAAAAUAAUUGAGACUUGUGUCUGCAACGAGCAACAUGGUACCUUGUUAGGAACCUGUGGUUUGGGGUUGGACUCUGGGACGGCUGGAAAAAUACCACAAGUGUUGCGGGAAAUAAAUUUGAG